This 483-nucleotide ribosomal RNA is filed under the name uncultured bacterium. RNAcentral's name for it is "bacterial SSU rRNA". It matches the Rfam family "Bacterial small subunit ribosomal RNA", at positions 29 to 507 of the family's 1533-position model. The record is from RNAcentral.
AUUGAACGCUGGCGGUAGGCCUAACACAUGCAAGUCGAGCGCGAAAGUGCCUUCGGGUGCGAGUAGAGCGGCGGACGGGUGCGUAACGCGUAGGAAUCUGCCUGGUAGUGGGGGAUAACUCGGGGAAACUCGAGCUAAUACCGCAUACGCCCCAUGGGGGAAAGCGGGGGACCUUCGGGCCUCGCGCUAUCAGAUGAGCCUGCGUCGGAUUAGCUAGUUGGUAGGGUAAUGGCCUACCAAGGCGACGAUCCGUAGCUGGUCUGAGAGGAUGAUCAGCCACACUGGGACUGAGACACGGCCCAGACUCCUACGGGAGGCAGCAGUGGGGAAUAUUGGACAAUGGGGGCAACCCUGAUCCAGCCAUACCGCGUGUGUGAAGAAGGCCUUAGGGUUGUAAAGCACUUUCAGUGGGGAGGAAAAGUUGCCGGCGAAUACCCGGCGACCGUGACGCUACCUGCAGAAGAAGCACCGGCAAACUCCGUG